GACGCACAGGCUAACCCAGGCCCACGCACGCCCUGGGAGCCCAUUUGCUCGAUCCAUCGUGGACCGGGUGGUGCACAAAGGAGGGAUGGAUCGUGUGGGUAUUUUUUGUUCGUUUCUUAUGAUCCACGAUACUAUUCUAUGGAUCGGUGCACGAUCGGAGGGCAUGGGUUGAUCCCGAUCUCGAUCCAACGGCUGAAAAAUUUUUUUGGGCUUGAUUAGGAGUCUUUAACCUAAUCUAAUUAGGUUUUAAGGCUUUUAAAAGGCCCUAAUGCUUAAUUGAGAUAGUGUGGUGUCUCGUUUUUCAUGAGAUCAUACGAUAACCAGAAAAUAGAGAAUCCCAUG
This 342-nucleotide long non-coding RNA is filed under the name Elaeis guineensis (African oil palm). Its description in RNAcentral is "long non-coding RNA (EGUI_LNC062636)". The record is from RNAcentral. Lineage: Eukaryota; Viridiplantae; Streptophyta; Magnoliopsida; Arecales; Arecaceae.